GCCCAGUGAGUAGAAACAAAGAAAACAGUUCAUUAAUUACAUGCUUUCAUGAAAUGCGUCAUAGCACAAACAAUUCACAUCACGGAUUGGACCUAACCCCAAAACUCCCUAAGCUAUUUGCCCGGCCCCCAUAAAGGGCACCACAGGACUUCGUAAUGCCUGGCCCAGCCAGGUCUUAUCCAUAGGGAUAGUGAGGUCGCCUUGGUCCCUCCACAUCAACAGUAAAUAAUGCAAUGCUUCAUAUUCGUGUAACUAGUGCAAUCAACCUAUUACAUAUAAACAUGAUGCAUGA
RNAcentral lists this long non-coding RNA (292 nucleotides) under Manihot esculenta (cassava). RNAcentral describes it as "long non-coding RNA (MESC_LNC011658)". The record is from RNAcentral. Lineage: Eukaryota; Viridiplantae; Streptophyta; Magnoliopsida; Malpighiales; Euphorbiaceae.